RNAcentral lists this ribosomal RNA (406 nucleotides) under uncultured bacterium. RNAcentral's name for it is "partial 16S ribosomal RNA". It matches the Rfam family "Bacterial small subunit ribosomal RNA", at positions 30 to 526 of the family's 1533-position model. The record is from RNAcentral.
AUUGAACGCUGGCGGCAAGCCUAACACAUGCAAGUCGAACGAGUGGCGGACGGGUGAGUAAUGUCUGGGAAACUGCCUGAUGGAGGGGGAUAACUACUGGAAACGGUAGCUAAUACCGCAUACCAUCGGAUGUGCCCAGAUGGGAUUAGCUAGUAGGUGGGGUAAAGGCUCACCUAGGCGACGAUCCCUAGCUGGUCUGAGAGGAUGACCAGCCAAAUUGGAACUGAGAACCGGUCCAGACUCCUACGGGAGGCAGCAGGGGGGAAUAUUGCACAAGGGGCGCAAGCCGGAUGCAGCCAUGCCGCGGGUAUGAAGAAGGCCUUCGGUUUGUAAAGUACUUUCAGCGGGGAGGCGUUACCAACAGAAUAAGCACCGGCUAACUUCGUGCCAGCAGCCGCGGUAAUUC